RNAcentral lists this ribosomal RNA (631 nucleotides) under Leistus pyrenaeus. RNAcentral's name for it is "partial large subunit ribosomal RNA". The stretch from base 385 to 544 matches the Rfam family "Bacterial large subunit ribosomal RNA", at positions 2473 to 2632 of the family's 2925-position model. Lineage: Eukaryota; Metazoa; Arthropoda; Insecta; Coleoptera; Carabidae. The record is from RNAcentral.
GUCCUUUUGAAUUUAAUUUAAGGUCUAACCUGCCCACUGAAUUUUAAAUGGCCGCAGUAAUUUGACUGUGCAAAGGUAGCAUAAUAAUUAGUUUUUUAAUUUAAAGCUUGUAUGAAGGGUUGGACGAAAUAAAAUCUGUCUCUAUUUAAUUAAAUUUAGAAUUUAACUUUUAAGUUAAAAGGCUUAAAUAUUAUUAAAAGACGAGAAGACCCUAUAGAUCUUUAUAUUUUUUAUAUUAAUUUUAAUUAAGAAUUUUUAAUGUUUUAUUAUUUAAAGUAUUUUAUUGGGGUAAUAUAAAGAUUUAAAUAAUUCUUUUUUAUUUAAACAUUAAUUUAUGAUUUUAAUGAUCCAAUUUUAUUGAUUAUAAGAUUAAGUUACCUUAGGGAUAACAGCGUAAUUUUUUUAGAGAGUUCUUAUCGAUAAAAAAGUUUGCGACCUCGAUGUUGGAUUAAAGAUUAUUUUAGGUGUAGAAGCUUGAAAAUUUUGGUCUGUUCGACCAUUAAAUCUUUACAUGAUCUGAGUUCAGACCGGCGUAAGCCAGGUCGGUUUCUAUCUUUAAUAAAUUAAAAUAUUUUAGUACGAAAGGACCAAUUAUUUAAUAUAUUUAUAUUUAAUUUUUGAAUAUUAUUAA